AGGGGGAGUCCGGAUCCUGGGCUGUGUCCCGGCGCCCUGUGCUCCUGCACUGUUGGAUUCGCGCUCCCGGCCGUGCAGCCCCCU
RNAcentral lists this microRNA precursor (84 nucleotides) under Canis lupus dingo (dingo). Its description in RNAcentral is "mir-8799 microRNA precursor family". It matches the Rfam family "mir-8799 microRNA precursor family". The record is from Rfam by way of RNAcentral. Lineage: Eukaryota; Metazoa; Chordata; Mammalia; Carnivora; Canidae.